CCUACGGGAGGCAGCAGUGAGGAAUAUUGGUCAAUGGCCGCAAGGCUGAACCAGCCAAGUCGCGUGAGGGAUGACGGCCCUACGGAUUGUAAACCUCUUUUGUCAGGGAGCAAAGGGCGCCACGUGUGGCGCUUUGCGAGUACCCGAAGAAAAAGCAUCGGCUAACUCCGUGCCAGCAGCCGCGGUAAUACGGAGGAUGCGAGCGUUAUCCGGAUUUAUUGGGUUUAAAGGGUGCGCAGGCGGAUUUUCAAGUCAGCGGUAAAAUUUCGGGGCUCAACCCCGUAGUGCCGUUGAAACUGGUGUUCUUGAGUGCGCGAGAGGUAUGCGGAAUGCGUGGUGUAGCGGUGAAAUGCAUAGAUAUCACGAAGAACUCCGAUGGCGAAGGCAGCAGACCGGCGCGCAACUGACGCUCAUGCACGAAAGCGUGGGUAUCGAACAGGAUUAGAUACCCGUGUAGUC
Molecule: ribosomal RNA, 459 nt
Filed under: uncultured bacterium
Lineage: Bacteria
Description: partial 16S ribosomal RNA
Rfam family: Bacterial small subunit ribosomal RNA
Source: RNAcentral